This is a long non-coding RNA of Oncorhynchus gorbuscha (pink salmon), 211 nucleotides long. RefSeq lists it as uncharacterized. NCBI's taxonomy places the organism in Eukaryota, Metazoa, Chordata, Actinopteri, Salmoniformes, Salmonidae. The record is from RefSeq and is a predicted model, not a curated record. The transcript has 3 exons.
GAGCACACACGGCCAGACCGUGACCAAUACGUCACCAUACAGUGGGACAACGUGGUGCCAGGAAAACAAGAGAACUUUAAGGUGAAGAAAGGAGACACUCAGGACCUGCCCUAUGACUACGACUCCAUAAUGCACUACGGAACAAACUACUUCUCAUCAAACCGGAACCCCACUAUUUACUCCAAGAAGAGGGAGUCCAGAUUGGACAGAG